Molecule: long non-coding RNA, 1018 nt
Organism: Leucoraja erinaceus (little skate)
Lineage: Eukaryota; Metazoa; Chordata; Chondrichthyes; Rajiformes; Rajidae
Exons: 2
Source: RefSeq, a predicted model, not a curated record
AAGCUUAAAAAACACCAUUAGAAUUCACAAAGGUUUACUGAGCUGCGUAGAUACAUUAUCAGUCACAUUAGUCUUUGAUUUAGACUGUUUCUCCUGAGUACUCUUAUUGAUAAAUAUCAUUUCAAGCCCUGGUUCCUCUAAUAUUAGAAUCCUUCACAGACUGAAUAAUUGCUUAAACCUAGGCAGUUACCCCUCAGUGUGGAAAACUCCAAAUUAGAUGAUACAUUUUUAAAUGUCCCGUGGAACAUUCUAUAAGAUAUGCAAAAAAGUAACGAUGAUAAAGGAAACUGGCCUUUGUUAGCUGUUUGUAGGGUGAACUAUUCUGCAUAUCUUUUAUUCAUUGGUCUUUAUCUCUCCACAUCACUGUCUAUAUCUCUCGUUUGACUUAUCCCGAACCAGUCUGAAGAAGGGUCUCGACCUGAAACGUCACCUGUUGUUAGCUGUGUGCUAGGUGAGAAUGAGCACAGACAAUGAGACUCAACAGGAGAACUUUGAAGCUGGUACGACUUGGGUGAGGGAGGGAAGGAGUGAGGAGGGAUGCUGUUUUGUCCUGCACUUUUCAUUCUCUUUUGCCCAAUUCUCUCACUCUUUUUCUGUCUCUUUAUGAGAGGUAGCAAUAAGCUCUUCUCUGAGAUUUCAGCAUAGUGGUUGUGAUGCAAAAAUGCAGGACACAUUUAGUUAUAAGAAAUCAAUGGUCUGCAUUUGCCACACAAUAAUUUACAAAAAAUAUGUAAACAUUUCAUCGAUGUCUUUCAGAGAUUCAUCAAUACAGAUUCCUUAUGUAAACAGGUUGAUAAUAUAUUCAAUAAACAAGCCCCUUAUUAACUCACCAGCCAAUUGCUUUUUAACAUAUCGUAAAGAUGCAUUUGAUUAAAAUGGUAAGAGGAUAUAAUCAACAUAAUUCAUGGCACUUUGAUGAGAACUGGUUAAUGUCACAUCAGGUGAAGAGUAUUAACAUUCUCUACAGCUCAUUAACACAGAAUUAAAGUAACUAGACAAAGAGGCAAGGUUUCUGGAA